CAGCAGCCGCGGUAAUACAGAGGGUGCAAGCGUUAAUCGGAUUUACUGGGCGUAAAGGGCGCGUAGGUGGUUAUUUAAGUGAGAUGUGAAAUCCCCGGGCUUAACCUGGGAACUGCAUCUUAUACUGGGUAACUGGAGUGCAAUAGAGGGUAGUGGAAUUUCCGGUGUAGCGGUGAAAUGCGUAGAUAUCGGAAGGAACACCUGUGGCGAAAGCGGCUCACUGGACAAUAACUGACGCUGAUGCACGAAAGCUAGGGGAGCAAACAGGAUUAGAUACCCCCGUAGUCCCUGUCUCUUAUAU
RNAcentral lists this ribosomal RNA (301 nucleotides) under uncultured bacterium. RNAcentral's name for it is "partial 16S ribosomal RNA". It matches the Rfam family "Bacterial small subunit ribosomal RNA", at positions 509 to 809 of the family's 1533-position model. The record is from RNAcentral.